GAUUUCAGCAAGCUUCACAUUUUGGGGGCAGGCAGGGGAAGAAUUCAGGAAGAAGAGAAACAGGGUAUUCUAGUGAGACAAGCCAAUGCUGACUGUUUAAGAGAUUUAGGAUUGAAAUCUGCUUUUGAACUCGCAUUCCGGCAGUCCUCUUUGGUGUUCUCACCAAGGGCAAAAGGACUCAAAUCCUCAGCAGAGGGCAGAAGGUGGCCUCUCUUCUGGCAAAACAUGCAAAUCGCCAUCGCUCGCGAGGGUGACCUCCUGACCAAGGAGCGGCUAUGCUGUGGCCUGUCCAUGUUCGAGGUCAUCCUGACCCGCAUUCGGAGCUACCUGCAGGACCCCAUCUGGCGGGGCCCACCGCCCACCAAUGGCGUCAUGCACGUCGAUGAGUGUGUGGAGUUCCACCGGCUGUGGAGCGCCAUGCAGUUCGUCUACUGCAUCCCUGUGGGAACCAACGAGUUCACAGCUGAGUGAGUACCCCCCAGAAAAGGAAGGGUUACCCCUAACCUGCCUGUACUCCUGCAAAUCAUGGGGCUGCCAGAGUUCAGCCAGAAACGUGGGCAGGGGGUAGGGGUGGUUGGCCAA
Molecule: small RNA, 582 nt
Filed under: Pongo abelii (Sumatran orangutan)
Lineage: Eukaryota; Metazoa; Chordata; Mammalia; Primates; Hominidae
Description: retained intron
Source: RNAcentral